GCUUAGGAAUAGGUAUAGGAUACAUUUAUUUCAAUAACCUAAGCAG
This 46-nucleotide transfer RNA is filed under the name Aristena rechingeri. RNAcentral's name for it is "tRNA-Leu". The record is from RNAcentral. Lineage: Eukaryota; Metazoa; Mollusca; Gastropoda; Stylommatophora; Helicidae.